GUGGGGAAUUUUGGGCAAUGGGCGCAAGCCUGAUCCAGCAAUGCCGCGUGCAGGAAGAAGGCCUUCGGGUUGUAAACUGCUUUUGUACGGAACGAAACGGUCCGGGUUAAUACCCUGGGCUAAUGACAGUACCGGGAGAAUAAGCUCCGGCUAACUUCGUGCCAGCAGCCGCGGUAAUACGAGGGGAGCUAGCGUUGUUCGGAAUUACUGGGCGUAAAGCGCGCGUAGGCGGUGAUGUAAGACAGUUGUGAAAUCCCCGGGCUCAACCUGGGAACUGCAUCUGUGACUGCAUUGCUGGAGUGCGGCAGAGGGGGAUGGAAUUCCGCGUGUAGCAGUGAAAUGCGUAGAUAUGCGGAGGAACACCGAUGGCGAAGGCAAUCCCCUGGGCCUGCACUGACGCUCAUGCACGAAAGCGUGGGGAGCAAACAGGAUUAGAAACCCUAGUAGUCC
Molecule: ribosomal RNA, 450 nt
Filed under: uncultured bacterium
Lineage: Bacteria
Description: bacterial SSU rRNA
Rfam family: Bacterial small subunit ribosomal RNA
Source: RNAcentral